UUCUUUUCAGCAAAAAUCAACAUUUGAUUUUAUGUAUGCAACACCUUCUUUGUUCGCAUGAAAAUUGUAUGGUCACAUCUACUUGUGGCUUAAAACCAAGAUGUUACUAACUUUCUUCACUAUCACUCAGAUAUAGGCUCCGAAAAUAGAGAUAAGGAAGCAGUGUCCAUUACACACCCAGACCUCAUCACAUUUCUCUUUCUUUAUCCUUUGGUAGAUAGGUAGAUAGAUAUGCCACGCACCCUUCAAUUUCAUGCAUCUUCAUUCAUGAAAACCUAACAGUCUACUAGCUAUUAUUUUUUCUCUAGCUCAUUUCCUUCAGCAACCCGUUAUUCACAGAAGCUAGACAAACAGGGGGAAGAGGUAUUGAAGUGCUAAGUGAGUCAUGGCUGGGGCAUUAAAAAAGUGCAUGAUGCUUUGUUGUACAAGCAAGAUUGUCUCGGUUUGAUCAUACACUGUAUAAUUUGGUGACGACACUGGUGGUAUGGUAGUGGUGAUAUUGGAAGGUGAUGAUGGUGGCACUAGUGGUGGAUGGUGGUGGCGACAACGACAGUAGUGGCAAUGGUGGUGAAUGUGGUGGUGGAUGGUGGUGUUGGUGGCGGUGGUGGUGGAGAGUGAGGGUGACGACAAUAGUUGUAUGAAGGUAUCAACGACGUGGUAGUGGUGGAGCAUAGUGGUGGCGGCGGCGAUAGUGGUGGUGGUGAUGGCGGUGAUGGUAGAGGGUGGUGGUAGUGACGAUAACGAUGACUAGAGCAUGUUGGUGGUGGAUGGCGGCGAAGGUGGUGGUGGCGGCGGUAGUGGUGGUGGUAGUGGUGGAGGCGGUGGUGGUGGAGGGUGCUUGUGGUGGCGGCGAUGGUGGUUGUGGUAGUGGUGGUGGCGAUAGUGGUGGAGACGGUGGUGGUGGAGGGUGGUUGUGGUGACAGCGACAAUGGUGGUGGUAGUGGUGGAGGUGGUGGUAGUGGUGGAGGCGAUGGUGGUGGUUGUGGUGGCGGCGAUGGUGGUGGUUGUGGUGGCGGCGACGGUGGUGGUGGUAGUGAUGGAGGCGGUGGUGGUGGAUGGUGAUUGUGGUGGCAGUGACAAUGGUGGUGGUGCCGACGACGGUGGUGGCGGCAGUGACGGUGGUGGUGGAGGGUAUUGUGAUGGCAGUUGAUUCAAUAUAUUGAAGUAGUUUAUGCAUUGUACUUUUAUCAUGCCUUAUCCAUCAUCUAUAUGGUGGAUUAAAUAAUUCAUCAUUUUGAUGUAUAAGAGGAGAUUGAUGUAUAAACUUAUACAAUACAAUAUGAGCACUAAACAAUGAAUAAAUUCAUAAUAUAUUGUAUAAGCUUUAUACUAUCAUGCCUAAUACAGUUUACCAAAUGUGCCCUAUGGUUCAAAAACAUUUUCAGUUGCUAUGACUAGAAUGAAUUUUAUUGCCCAUUGAAGCAUCGAAAUGGCUAAUCGCAUGCUAAUUGUCCCACUGAUCUCUUAUGGUAUUGCUUGUUUUCGUUUCAUUAAGUCAACCUUCCCAAUAAACUAUUACUUCAGUGAGCAUCUAUUCAUUCACGAACAAAAAGAAAAAGUCAAUUCCUCAUCACACCCGCCAUCCCAGAACGUCAUCUACCACGCUUAUUAUUUUGGGGACAAUAAAACCCCACCCACCAGAUUCCACUUUCUACAGUUUUCUAAUUCAAUAAUGCUCUAAUUAACCCCCAUAAACGCAGCUGAAGCAGCAGGUGAUUAACAAAUCUUAUCUUACACAGUUGUUUAUUCUUUACAUUAUUUUACAGCACUAAUUGGCUUGGUAUACUACUUUAGAAAAAUAAGAAAAUGCACAUAUUAAAAAUUUUAAUUAAUUUAUUGAAAUUAUUUUAUAAACUUUAGAUUGUAACCUUUAAGCCUUUGAUUAAAUUAAUAGUGAUUGAGAAAGAGUUGUGUGUUUGAUUUCUUCCUUUGAUGUGAGGAUUGUGUUGAGUAAUAGGUUAGAGGAGGGAUAUUGUUGGAUAAUAAUAGUCAUUGUUAAUUCUGGUACCAAUUGAUAAAAUGAUGCUUCCUAUCAAAGUCAGUACGGCUAGGUUAGAGAAUCAAAAUUAUAAAGCAAUACUCAAUUCUGAUAUCAUUAAUUGGAAAAAGAAUUACAACUUAUACCAGAAAAAUAAGCAACAAAAAGGUUAAAAAUCUAGUCUAAUUAUGAAAGAAAU
Molecule: long non-coding RNA, 2177 nt
Organism: Lotus japonicus
Lineage: Eukaryota; Viridiplantae; Streptophyta; Magnoliopsida; Fabales; Fabaceae
Exons: 3
Source: RefSeq, a predicted model, not a curated record